This is a non-coding RNA of Desulfobacteraceae bacterium 4572_89, 104 nucleotides long. The record is from Rfam. NCBI's taxonomy places the organism in Bacteria, Pseudomonadati, Thermodesulfobacteriota, Desulfobacteria, Desulfobacterales, Desulfobacteraceae.
AAGCGAUGCCAAAAUUCCCGAUGCCCAGGCCGGGUGGGAAAAGGCCUUUACCACCCUUCUGGCCGUUAUGGGAGGCAACAAUUAUAUCCACCGCCUAUGAGCAG